Protopterus annectens (West African lungfish) is the source of this 233-nucleotide long non-coding RNA. RefSeq lists it as uncharacterized. The transcript has 3 exons. The record is from RefSeq and is a predicted model, not a curated record. Lineage: Eukaryota; Metazoa; Chordata; Ceratodontiformes; Protopteridae.
UGGUAUUUACACGAUUCUUCCGGUUUUUAGUUUAGGGACGCUGACAAUCCUGCUGAUACAUGGCUCAAAGCCAAGGAAGAGUUGUAAUUGAUUCAAAACUGCGAAGAUAAUGUCCCAGAAAACCUGGAUAGAAAGCACAUUUACCAAGAGAGAAUGUGUAUGCAUAAUUCCAAGUUCAAAGGACCCUCACAGAUGUCUUCCAGGAUGUCAGAUAUGCCAGCAGCUUGUCAGGU